AGUGAACGCUGGCGGUAGGCCUAACACAUGCAAGUCGAACGGCAGCACAGUAAGAGCUCGCUCGGACGGGGGGCGAGGGGCGGACGGGGGAGGAAUACAUCGGCAUCUACUUUUUCGAGGGGGAUAACGUAGGGAAAAAUACGCUAAUACCGCAUACGACCUACGGGUGAAAGCAGAGGAUCUUCGGCCCUUGCGCGAUUGAAUGAGCCGAUGUCGGAUUAGCUAGUUGGUGGGGUAAAGGCUCACCAAGGCGACGAUCCGUAGCUGGUCUGAGAGGAUGAUCAGCCACACUGGAACUGAGACACGGUCCAGACUCCUACGGGAGGCAGCAGUGGGGAAUAUUGGACAAUGGGCGCAAGCCUGAUCCAGCCAUACCGCGUGCGUGAAGAAGGCCUUCGGGUUGUAAAGCCCUUUUGUUGGGAAAGAAAAGCAGUAGGUUAAUACCCCGCUGGUCUGACGGUACCCAAAGAAUAAGCACCGGCUAACUUCGUG
RNAcentral lists this ribosomal RNA (492 nucleotides) under uncultured bacterium. RNAcentral's name for it is "partial 16S ribosomal RNA". It matches the Rfam family "Bacterial small subunit ribosomal RNA", at positions 29 to 507 of the family's 1533-position model. The record is from RNAcentral.